Molecule: non-coding RNA, 30 nt
Filed under: Mus musculus (house mouse)
Lineage: Eukaryota; Metazoa; Chordata; Mammalia; Rodentia; Muridae
Source: RNAcentral
UUUAAUUAAGAAAAAGAAAGUCUGUCUCAA